GUGACUUAGUGUGUUAACUGCUCCUGAAUAUGACGGAAUGGGGUCAGCAGAGAAACCGGUUCUGGCCACCAGAGAAACAAGAAUUCAAGACGGAGUGGGGGAAGGAUAAAACAGUCGCUAUUCAUUGAUGGACAAGAUUGUUUAUGACUAUGUGCAAAACCCUAAGAAGCCUACAAAAGAACUUCUAGAACUAAUACGAUUUCUAAUAAAGGACCCAGAAGAGUUUGACGAAAUUUUCAGAGACAACGGUCUCCAGGCCAGGCAAGUAGGAGGGAAUGAGUAAUAAAUUAUGACAUCUAUACAAUGGAGUAUCAUGUUGCCAUUAACAAGAAUGAAGCAGGGGGAUGCUCAGCGGUUUAGCGCCUGCCUGCGGCCCACGGCGUGACCCUGGAGACCCGGGAUCGAGUCCCAUGUCAGGCUCCCUGCAUGGAGCCUGCUUCUCCCUCUGCCUGUGUCUAUGCCCCUCUCUCUCU
Canis lupus familiaris (dog) is the source of this 473-nucleotide long non-coding RNA. RefSeq lists it as uncharacterized. The record is from RefSeq and is a predicted model, not a curated record. The transcript is spliced from 3 exons. Lineage: Eukaryota; Metazoa; Chordata; Mammalia; Carnivora; Canidae.